This 7445-nucleotide long non-coding RNA is filed under the name Phoenix dactylifera (date palm). RNAcentral describes it as "long non-coding RNA (PDAC_LNC001700)". Lineage: Eukaryota; Viridiplantae; Streptophyta; Magnoliopsida; Arecales; Arecaceae. The record is from RNAcentral.
UAGAACCCCAAGUUGAACUUAGAAGGAGCAAGAGACCUAGAAUAGAGAAAAACCUAGGAGAUGACUUCUACACAUUCCUUGUUGAAGAUAAACCUUUGACUUAUGCUGAAGCAAUGAAAUCUAGUGAUGCACCUCUAUGGGAGGAAGCCAUUAAAAGUGAGAUGGAAUCAAUCCUUUCACACAAUACAUGGGUGUUAACCGACUUACCUCCAGGGUCUAGACCACUAGGGUGCAAAUGGGUCUUUAAAAGGAAACAAAAUCCUGAUGGAUCCAUUGAAAAAUACAAAGCUAGAUUAGUUGCUAAAGGUUUUAGUCAAAGAGAAGGAAUGGACUAUUUUGACACUUAUUCUCCAGUCACUAGGAUAACUACAAUUCGAGUGCUUAUAGCAUUGGCAGCAUCAUAUAAACUUGAAAUCCAUCAGAUGGAUGUAAAAACUGCCUUUCUUAAUGGCGAGUUAGAUGAAGAAAUUUAUAUGGAGCAGCCAGAAGGUUUUGUAGUUUCUGGUCAAGAGAAUAAAGUGUGUAAGCUAGUCAAAUCCUUAUAUGGAUUAAAACAAGCUCCUAGACAGUGGCAUGAAAAGUUUGACCAAGUCAUUUUAUCAUAUGGCUUUAAUAUUUGUGACUUCGAUAAAUGUGUAUAUUGGAAAAUAUUUGAUAGGUCUAUUAUUAUCCUAUGUUUAUACGUAGAUGACAUUUUAAUUUUUGGUAGUGAACAUGUCACAAUUUUUGAAGUAAAGAAAUACUUAAGUGAUAAUUUUGACAUGAAAGAUCUAGGGUUAGCUAAAGUAAUCUUAGGAAUCAAAAUUAGAAGGACACAAAAUGAGAUUGUUCUAAGUCAAUCUCACUAUGUUGAAAAAGUGUUAAAAAAAUUUGGGUACGAAAAUUACAAGCCAGUUAGCACCCCAUAUGAUCCUAGCAUAAAAUUAAAGAAAAAUAGUGGGGAUAGUGUUUCCCAAUUAAGGUAUUCUCAAUUAAUUGGAAGUCUUAUGUAUUUAUCUAACUGUACAAGACCAGAUAUCUCCUAUGCUGUAGGAAGACUAAGUAGAUACACUAGUAAUCUCGAUAAAACACAUUGGAAUGCAAUAGAAAGGCUUCUUAAAUAUUUGAAGGGUACCAUUAACUACGGGAUAUACUAUUCUGGUUUUCCUACUGUACUAGAAGGGUAUAGUGAUGCUAACUGGAUUUCUGAUUCCGAAGACACAAAGGCCACUAGUGGAUUUGUCUUUACACUAGGUGGUGGUGCAGUCGCUUGGAAAUCUUCCAAGCAGACCUUGAUUACUAGAUCCACCAUGGAGGCUGAGAUGGUAGCCUUAGAGUUAGCUGGUGGAGAAGCAGAUUGGCUUAGGGGUCUGUUAUCAGAUAUCCCCAUGAUGGAUAAGCCUAUUCCUGCUAUUCUAAUUAACUGUGAUAAUCAGGCGACUAUAGCAAAAGUGAAAAGUAAAAAUCACAACUCGAAGUCGUCUAGGCAUAUUGAGCUUCGAUAUAAAAUUUUAAGGAAGCUCACCUCUACUGGAGUUAUAACUUUAAGUUAUAUUAAAUCAGUGGAGAACUUGGCAGAUCAUCUGACCAAGGGCUUGUCGAGAGGACAAGUUCAAUAUGCUUCGAGGGGGAUGGGUUUAAAGCCUAUUUUUGAGUCACCGUCAGCGGCAACCCAACCUAUCUGACUGGAGAUCCCAAGAUGUAGGUUCAAUGGGACAAACAAGCUGACUGAGUGGUUGGUAGGAGCACCAGAUUUAAAGUGAACUCAGUUCACUACCCAUCUCUAUGGAGCAGGUGCUCAACUGCACUAGACAGGAGGAUGGCGUAAUGCCUUAAUGAUAUCAAGGCUAUUAUAGCAAGGUAUAGAGUUGCAGUAUACCCUUGGAGAUAUCACCGAUGUGAGUGUGACUGUGGGGCCGCAGUCAAAUAGAGAAUUAAGGCUUGUUCUCUAAGAGACACUCUCAAAACAAGAUACCUGUGCACGGCCGUAAUGCGCUACCCCGAUGGAACUCACAUGCAGGGUCAACUCUUAGUUGUUCAGUAUUUUAAAAUCUAUAUAUAAAGUCCAAGUUCAAGACUUUGUUCACUUCGGACCGGUGUGGAUGGCAAAAUACCAACUAGAUGAAGGUUCAAGUCCGAAAGACACCUUUCAUCGAAAGCUAAGUGUACUGAAUGCUCGUACUUUGAAUUUUUCAAAAUUUUGACAUUUUCAAAAUUAUCUCAAAAUUUUUUUUUUCCGAAAUUUCAAAAUGGUGGGGAAUGUAAGAGGUUUUGAAUUUGAAAUUUGAAACGGUUGUGAACCGUUUCUCCCCAUUUAAACUCAUUUAAAGCCAUCCUAAAUGCAAUACAAACGUUGGGCUCCAACGUUGAUCCAGAUGGGAGAGAGAGGAGAGCUCUCUCACACUCAUUAAUUCCUUCUCUUCACAUCCGUUAGAGGGCUUUUUUCCUUCUACGGUUUUCCUUGCUUUUUCUGAUUUUUUUUUGGCUUUCAAGUGGUGAGGGGAGAAGACAAGAGGGGUUAUCUUGUGGUUGGCCUCCUCUUCGCCGAUCACUCUUCAUCUUUUGGCUUUGAAUCAGUUUUGUACGAGCAUACAGAAAAAUCCCUGCGGAGUUCAAGAGAUUUUGUAGUACUGUGCACGUCUACAAAAUCAACGGUCCGUUGUAUCUUGGGAAGGGAUCGCCAGAAUCCGGUGCAUAUAAGGAGGCGAAUCUCUUUCAAAGACAGUGACUACACGCCUCGGACCGAUCUACAGGUAUUAUCUAUUUUAUUUUGGAUCUAAAGAAAACGACAUCAAAGAGGUACGCAUUGGAAUCAGUUGUUUCAGNNNNNNNNNNNNNNNNNNNNNNNNNNNNNNNNNNNNNNNNNGAUUACUACAACAUUUUUGAAAGAGAUUUGUUUCCGAAACACAAAGAUGGACAAAGUUAAGAACUCAUUAAACGAUAUCCUGAAACCCGAGUCAUUCGAUGGAAAGAAUUUUGUUAGAUGGCAAACAAAGAUGGAGUCUUGGUUGGACACAUUAGAUUUAUUUUAUGUGGUUUCAAACAAUCCUUCAACUAAGGACCCAAUGGAUCAUGAACCCGGCAGAUCAGCUGCUAAAUACAAAUUUGAUAAAGAUGAUCGUUUGUGUAAGAGUUUGAUACUUAGUUCACUAAAUGAUAACUUGUACGACAUCUACUCUAGAGCUGAGGGUACAGCUAAAACAUUGUGGGAUGAACUUGAGUCAAAUAUGGUAAAGAAACUGAAUCAGAAGAAAAGUUCAUCAUAGGAGAAUAUUUUUCUUACAAAAUGGUAGAUCAAAAAUCAGUAAUUGAUCAAGCACAUGAAGUCCAGAAUAUAGUGGCGAAGAUCAUCGCAAUGGGAAUUUCUAUAGAUGAGAGAAUUCAGGCGGCAACCCUUAUAGAAAAGCUUCCAUCUUCCUGGACAAAUUUUAAAGUCUCUUUGAAGCAUAAGAGACACACCCUCUCUUUGGAUCAAGUACUUGUGUCCCUUCAAAUAGAAGAAAAAUACAGGAAUAACCAUAAACAGGAUUUGGGUAUUGACUCAGAAGUUAAUGCAAAGGCAAACUUAGUAGAAACGAAGAAAACUAACUUCUGGAGAAAUAAACCCAAGAAACACUUUGAGAAGCCAAAACCAAAGAUUAAAAAGGAACAGAGCAAGAGAACAUGUUAUGUCUGUGGAAAACCAGGACACUUUGCCAAAUAGUGUAGACAUAGAAAGGACAAAGUCAAGAGGCAAAUAUGAUAACAGGUUCUGGUUCUACUGGAAUCGAGGACAGGUUAGUAAUCUCAAAACUUGAGUUAAAUCUGGCCUACAAUCCAACUGAAUGGUGGAUUGAUACAGGAGCUACUGUCCAUAUAUGUUCUGAUAUUUCCUCUUUUUCUUUCUACCAGGAGGUUAAAGGGAGAACUGUGACCAUGGGCAACUCCAGUGUUGCACAAGUGAUUGGAGAAGGAGAAGUAAAAUUGAAGUUCACAUCUGGAAAAAUUAUUACUCUCCACAACGUGCAACAUGUGCCAGAUGUUCGCAAGAAUCUUGUUAGUGGUUUUCUUUUGAGUCAAUUAGGCUUUAAAUUAGUGUUUGAAUCAAAUAAGGUUGUAAUUACCAAAGGUGGGACAUUUGUAGGGAGGGGUUAUGUUGCUGAUGGGUUAUUUAAAUUGAGUGUAUUACCAUGCUACAAUAUGAAUAAAAAUAUUUCUUCUCCACUUGUUAUGCAUAUCGACUCUUUAGAGAUGUGGCAUGGUAGACUUGGACACGUAAANNNNNNNNNNNNNNNNNNNNNNNNNAAUUUAGAUUUAAUUCCUAAAUAUAAUUUAGAGAAGAACAAAAAAUGUGAAAUUUGUGUUCAAGCUAAACAACCUAGGAAACCAUUUAAAUCAACAAGUAGAAGUUCUAACCUACUGGAUUUAAUACAUAGUGACAUUUGCGAAAUGAGCGGUAUUUUGACGAGAGGAGGAAAAAGAUACUUUAUUACCUUUAUAGAUGACAUGUCAAAAUACUGCUAUGUAUAUUUAAUAAAAACUAAGGAUGAAGCCUUAGAAAAAUUUAAAAUUUAUAAAUCAGAGGUUGAAAAUCAAACCCAGAAAACAAUAAAAAGACUCAGGUCAGAUAGAGGAGGAGAAUAUAGUUCAACAGAAUUUGGAAAAUUCUGUGAGGAACAUGGGAUUAUACAUGAGACUACUGCCCCUUAUUCUCCUCAGUCAAAUGGAGUUGCUGAAAGAAAAAAUAGAACUUUUCUUGACAUGAUUAACUCAAUGCUUAUAGUUCUGGUCUUUCCAACAAUUUACGGGGUGAAGCUCUAAUUUCAGCAUGUAAAAUACUUAAUCGUAUACCAUUUAAAGAUAACUAGAAAACACCAUAUGAAUUAUGGUGGGGUAGAAAACCUAGUCUAAAAUAUUUUAAAGUUUGGGUUGCCUUGCAAAAGUUAAAAUUAACUCUAGCAAGAUGACUAAACUGUCUUCUAAGACUUUCGAUGCAGCUUUCAUAGGAUAUGCGGAAAAUAGUAACGCAUACCGAUUCUUAGUAGUACGAUCAGAUGUACCUGACAUUACACCGAACACUAUUAAAGAAUCAAAUGAUGCAGUAUUUUUUGAGAAUGUGUUUCCUAUGAAAGAAAAGAGAAAGUUAGAAAUAGGAGAAUCCUCUAAAUCACAAAAUGAUAACACUGAAAUAGAACCCCAAGUUGAACUUAGAAGGAGCAAGAGGCCUAGAAUAGAGAAAAACCUAAGAGAUGACUUCUACACAUUCCUUGUUGAAGAUGAACCCUUGACUUAUGCUGAAGCAAUGAAAUCUAGUGAUGCACCUCUAUGGGAGGAAGCCAUUAAAAGUGAGAUGGAAUCAAUCCUUUCACACAAUACAUGGGUGUUAACCGACUUACCUCCAGGGUCUAGACCACUAGGAUGCAAAUUGGUCUUCAAAAGGAAACAAAAUCCUGGUGGAUCCACUGAAAAAUACAAAGCUAAAUUAGUUGCUAAAGGUUUUAGUCAAAAAGAAGGAAUGGACUAUUUUGACACUUAUUCUCCAGUCACUAGGAUAAAUACAAUUCGAGUGCUUAUAGCAUUGGCGGCAUCUUAUAAACUUGAAAUCCAUCAAAUGGAUGUGAAAACAGCCUUUCUUAAUGGCGAGUUAGAUGAAGAAAUUUAUAUGGAGCAGCCAGAAGGUUUUGUAGUUUCUAGUCAAGAGAAUAAAGUGUGUAAGCUAGUCAAAUCCUUAUAUGGAUUAAAACAAGCUCCUAGACAGUGGCAUGAAAAGUUUGACCAAGUCAUUUUAUCAUAUGUCUUUAAUAUUUGUGACUUCGAUAAAUGUGUAUAUUGGAAAAUAUUUGAUGGGUCUAUUAUUAUCCUAUGUUUAUACGUAGAUGACAUUUUAAUUUUUGGUAGUGAACAUGUCACAAUUUUUGAAGUGAAGAAAUACUUAAGUGAUAAUUUUGACAUGAAAGAUCUAGGAUUAGCUAAAGUAAUCUUAGGAAUCAAAAUUAGAAGGACACAAAAUGAGAUUGUUCUAAGUCAAUCUCACUAUGUUGAAAAGGUGUUAAAGAAAUUUGGGACGAAAAUUACAAGCCAGUUAGCACCCCAUAUGAUCCUAGCAUAAAAUUAAAGAAAAAUGGUGGGGAUAGUGUUUCCCAAUUAAAGUAUUCUCAAUUAAUUGGAAGUCUUAUGUAUUUAUCUACAUGUACAAGGCCAGAUAUCUCUUAUGCUGUAGGAAGACUAAGUAGAUACACUAGUAAUCCCGAUAAAACACAUUGGAAUGCAAUAGAAAGGCUUCUUAAAUAUUUGAAGGGUACUAUUAACUAUGGGAUAUACUAUUCUGGUUUUCCUACUGUACUAGAAGGGUAUAGUGAUGCUAACUGGAUUUCUGAUUCCGUAGACACAAAGGCCACUAGUGGAUUUGUCUUUACACUAGGUGGUGGUGCAGUCGCUUGGAAAUCUUCCAAGCAGACCUUGAUUACUAGAUCCACCAUGAAAGCUGAGAUGGUAGCCUUAGAGUUAGCUGGUGGAGAAGCAGAUUGGCUUAGGGGUCUGUUAUUAGAUAUCCCCAUGAUGGAUAAGCCUAUUCCUGCUAUUUUAAUUAACUGUGAUAAUCAAGCGACUAUAANNNNNNNNNNNNNNNNNNNNNNNNNNNNNNNNNNNNNNNNNNNNNNNNNNCUUCGAUAUAAAAUUUUAAGGAAGCUCACCUCUACUGGAGUUAUAACUUUAAGUUAUAUUAAAUCAGUGGAGAACUUGGCAGAUCAUCUGACCAAGGGCUUGUCGAGAGGACAAGUUCAAUAUGCUUGAGGGGGAUGGGUUUAAAGCCUAUUUUUAAGUCACCGUCGGUGGCAACCCAACCUAUCUGACUGGAGAUCCCAAGAUGUAGGUUCAAUGGGACAAACAAGCUGACUGAGUGGCUGGUAGGAGCACCAAAUUUAAAGUGAACAUGGUUCACUACCCAUCUNNNNNNNNNNNNNNNNNNNNNNNNNNNNNNNNNAGGAUAGCGUAAUGCCUUAAUGAUAUCAAGGCUAUUAUAGUAGGGUAUAGAGUUGCAGUAUACCCUUGGAGAUAUCACCGAUGUGAGUGUGACUGUGGGGCCGCAGUCAAAUAGAGAAUUAAGGCUUGUUCUCUAGGAGAUACUCACAAAAUAAGAUACCUGCGCACGGCCGUAAUGCGCUACCCCGAUGGAACUCACAUGCAGGGUCAACUCUUAGUUGUUCGGUAUUUUAAAAUCUAUACAUAAAGUCCAAGUUCAAGACUUUGUUCACUUCGGACCGGUGUGGAUGGCAAAAUACCAACUAGAAGAAGGUUCAAGUCCGGAAGACACCUUUUAUCGAAAGCUAAGUGUACUGAUUGCUCGUACUUUGAAUUUUCAGAAUUUCUAUUAUUUUCAAAAUUAUUUUAAAUUUUUAAAAUUUCAAAAAUGGUGGGGAAAUGUAAGAAGUUUUUGAAAUUUGAGAAGAACGAUUACGAAACCGUCUCUCAUUUCUUACGUUUUGAAA